Molecule: long non-coding RNA, 1461 nt
Filed under: Homo sapiens (human)
Lineage: Eukaryota; Metazoa; Chordata; Mammalia; Primates; Hominidae
Description: HSALNT0383122
Source: RNAcentral
GAGGUUUGGCCUGGCGUGGUGGCUCAUGCCUGUAAUCCUGAGAGGUGAAGCCAGCUGGACUUCUGGGUCGGACUUGGAGAGCUUUUCUGUCUUACAAGAGGAUUGUAAAAUGCACCAAUCAGUGCUCUGUAAAGACACACCAAUCGGCACUCCGUGGCUAGCUAGAGGUUUGUAAAAUGGACCAAUCAGCACUCUGUAAAAUGGACCAAUCAGCACUCUGUAAAGUGGACCAACCAGCAGGACAUGGGCGGGGACAAAUAAGGGAAUAAAAGCUGGCCACCCCAACCAGCAGCAGCCCCUGGCUUGGGUCCUCGUCUAAGCUGUGGACGCUUUGUUCUUUCGCUCUUCACAAUAAAUCUUGCUCACUCUUUGGGUCCGUGCCGCCUUUAAGAGCUGUAACACUCACCGCGGAGGUCCGCGGCCCCGUUCUUGAAGUCAGCGAGACCACGAACCCACCAGAAGGAACCAACUCCAGACACAAUCCCAGCACUUUGGGAAGUCAGGGCAGGCGGAUCAGGAGGUCAGAAGAUCGAGACCAUCCUGGCCAACAUGGUGAAACCCCAUCUCUACUGAAAAUAUAAAAAUUAGCUGGAUGUGGUGGCGCAUGCCUGUAAUCCCAGCUACUGGGGAGGCUGAGGCAGGAGAAUCCCUUAAACCGGGGAGUUGGAUGUUGCAGUGAGCUGAGAUUGCGCCACAGCUCUCUAGCCUGGCGACAGAGUGAGCCUCCAUCUCAAAACAACAACAACAACAAAAACCAAAAGAAAUGAGGUUUAAUUGACUCACAGUUCCACAGGUUGUACAAGAGGUGUGACUGGGGAGGCCUCAGGAAGCUUACAAUCAUGGUGGAAGGAUGAAGGGGAAGCAAGCACGUCUUCACAUGGCAGUAGGCGGGAGAGUGAGUGAAGGGAGAAGUGCUACACACUUUCAAACAACCAGAUCUCAUGAAAACUCACUAUCACAAGAACAGCAAAAGGGAAAUCCACCCAUGAUCUAAUCAUCUCCCACCAGCUCCCUCUCGCAACAUUGGGAAUUACAGUUCAACAUGCGAUUUGGUGGGGACACAGAGCCAAACCAUAUCACACCCCAUUCAAAGCUAUGAGAUUAUAAAAUGGUCCUUCUCCUGUCACUCAGCUGACUGUAAAUUCAUGCUGGCACAUCCACACCACGGCAGACAGAAGACACUGCUUGGGAGUUCUGUUCUGUCAUCAACGGAGCUGUGAUGACCGUGGAUGUCACUGGUAGUGGCCAACAUUUCUGCAGCUCCUUCUCAGUUACAUCCUCAACACAAACUCCUCACCAGAUAUGCUGUACAUUUAAAGAGGCAAUGCUACUGGGAUUAUGUAGGUUCUAACUCAUUUUAACAAGGGCACUGUCAGGCCUCUAAGCCCAAGCUAAGCCAUCAUAACCCCUGUGACCUGCAUGUAUACAUCCAGAUGACCUGAAGCAACUGAAGAACCACAA